RNAcentral lists this ribosomal RNA (460 nucleotides) under uncultured bacterium. RNAcentral's name for it is "partial 16S ribosomal RNA". It matches the Rfam family "Bacterial small subunit ribosomal RNA", at positions 338 to 795 of the family's 1533-position model. The record is from RNAcentral.
CCUACGGGAGGCAGCAGUGAGGAAUAUUGGUCAAUGGGCUUACGCCUGAACCAGCCAAGUCGCGUGAGGGAAGACUGCCCUAUGGGUUGUAAACCUCUUUUGUCAGGGAGCAACGCCGGCUACGUGUAGCCGGACUGAGAGUACCUGAAGAAAAAGCAUCGGCUAACUCCGUGCCAGCAGCCGCGGUAAUACGGAGGAUGCGAGCGUUAUCAGGAUUUAUUGGGUUUAAAGGGUGCGUAGGCGGAAUGCCAAGUCAGCGGUAAAAUCGCGGGGCUCAACCUCGCUCCGCCGGUGAAACUGGCGGUCUUGAGUGGGCGAGAAGUAUGCGGAAUGCGUGGUGUAGCGGUGAAAUGCAUAGAUAUCACGCAGAACCCCGAUUGCGAAGGCAGCAUACCGGCGCCCAACUGACGCUGAAGCACGAAAGCGUGGGUAUCGAACAGGAUUAGAUACCCGAGUAGUC